This 469-nucleotide long non-coding RNA is filed under the name Carica papaya (papaya). RNAcentral's name for it is "long non-coding RNA (CPAP_LNC008882)". The record is from RNAcentral. Lineage: Eukaryota; Viridiplantae; Streptophyta; Magnoliopsida; Brassicales; Caricaceae.
AUGCGGUGUUUAGAUGAUGUAAGGAUUCCAGUACUAUUGGCCCAGUGGUACAGAAGAAACCUAAAUCGGCAUGCUUGUUGAUAAUGUUUACAUGUUUAUUGUACAUUCACAUGUUCGUAUUAUAUAAUGUUGUGUUUUAAAUGCUGUGGAGAUUUCAGUACUGUUGGCCCAGUGACUGGAUCGAGGGGUUAAUGCCCUAAAGGUCGUUGUUGGCAUUAGAAGAUGUCGUUAAAUUGUGCAUAAACACUGACCGAAAUAUUGGGUUAAAAGAUUGAUGUUUCGGAGAUCGUUGUUAGCAUCGGAAGAUAUCGUUAAAUUAUGUAUAAAUACUGGACCAAUUAUUGGGUCGAGAGAUUGAUGCCCCGAGUGUGUGUUUUGGCAUUGAGAUGUUGUUGGGAAUGGUCUGAAUAUACAUAUAUAUUGGUGUUACUAUUUUGUGAUGCAGAGAAGAAAAAUGAAUUGAGCUAUG